RNAcentral lists this ribosomal RNA (497 nucleotides) under uncultured bacterium. Its description in RNAcentral is "partial 16S ribosomal RNA". It matches the Rfam family "Bacterial small subunit ribosomal RNA", at positions 28 to 507 of the family's 1533-position model. The record is from RNAcentral.
GAUGAACGCUGGCGGCGUGCCUAAUACAUGCAAGUCGAGCGAACGGACGAGAAGCUUGCUUUUCUGAUGUUAGCGGCGGACGGGUGAGUAACACGUGGAUAACCUACCUAUAAGACUGGGAUAACUUCGGGAAACCGGAGCUAAUACCGGAUAAUAUUUUGAACCGCAUGGUUCAAAAGUGAAAGACGGUCUUGCUGUCACUUAUAGAUGGAUCCGCGCUGCAUUAGCUAGUUGGUAAGGUAACGGCUUACCAAGGCAACGAUGCAUAGCCGACCUGAGAGGGUGAUCGGCCACACUGGUACUGAGACACGGUCCAGACUCCUACGGGAGGCAGCAGUAGGGAAUCUUCCGCAAUGGGCGAAAGCCUGACGGAGCAACGCCGCGUGAGUGAUGAAGGUCUUCGGAUCGUAAAACUCUGUUAUUAGGGAAGAACAUAUGUGUAAGUAACUGUGCACAUCUUGACGGUACCUAAUCAGAAAGCCACGGCUAACUACGUG